Felis catus (domestic cat) is the source of this 73-nucleotide transfer RNA. It matches the Rfam family "tRNA". Rfam says of the family: Transfer RNA (tRNA) molecules are approximately 80 nucleotides in length. Their secondary structure includes four short double-helical elements and three loops (D, anti-codon, and T loops). Further hydrogen bonds mediate the characteristic L-shaped molecular structure. tRNAs have two regions of fundamental functional importance: the anti-codon, which is responsible for specific mRNA codon recognition, and the 3' end, to which the tRNAs corresponding amino acid is attached (by aminoacyl-tRNA synthetases). tRNAs cope with the degeneracy of the genetic code in two manners: having more than one tRNA (with a specific anti-codon) for a particular amino acid; and 'wobble' base-pairing, i.e. permitting non-standard base-pairing at the 3rd anti-codon position. NCBI's taxonomy places the organism in Eukaryota, Metazoa, Chordata, Mammalia, Carnivora, Felidae. The record is from Rfam.
ACCUGGCUGGCUAAGUUGGUACAGUAUGUGAUUCUUGAUCUCAGGGUCAUGAGUUCAAGCCCCAUGAUGGGUG